This 765-nucleotide ribosomal RNA is filed under the name Oziella atherodes. RNAcentral describes it as "eukaryotic LSU rRNA". The stretch from base 91 to 765 matches the Rfam family "Eukaryotic large subunit ribosomal RNA", at positions 1 to 634 of the family's 3401-position model. The record is from RNAcentral. Lineage: Eukaryota; Metazoa; Arthropoda; Arachnida; Trombidiformes; Phytoptidae.
UUGAUGUUUAGUGGCACCAAUGGUAGCAAAUGCAGGCAACUGUAUCUGUUGCUUUUCAGGCCUAGCGUACAAGUCCCACUGACUUGGGCUUAUUCUUACAAUUGAGAUGUCUACGGGCUUGGGGCAACCUGGGUUCGUGGAUGAGCCAUAGAGGGUGAAAGUCCCUUAAUGCGCGGGUAUUGGUGUCACGAAUCAGAGCAGUGGCGUUUGUGCGUGUGUGGCAACACAUACGUUGCGAGCGUCACGGUUUGUCAGAGUCGGGUUGCUUGAGAGUGCAACCUAAAGAGCGAGGUAAACUGCUCGUAAGGCUACGAUUUAAAUACGGCUACGACACCGAUAGCAAACAAGUACCGUGAGGGAAAGUUGCAAAGUACUUUGAAGAGAGAGUUAAACAGGGCGUGAAACCGCUAGCUGGAAAACGAGUGGAGCCACGAAGUCGUUUCGUAGAUCACGGAUUGCAAACUCAGCCAAGGUGCCGUGAAAAAGCGUCUUGGUGUAUUUUUGUGUUAAAUUCCGCUACUGUAAGCGUACACUGCAACCAAUUAGACGGACAAGCGUGGAAAUAGUUUGCAUGUUUUAUGGGGCAACCUGUAGCGUGUGAGCGAAAGAAUUUGUGCACUUAUGUGUAGGUAGCCGCGGGUUUCGUUGUGGUGUGUUUCGGCACACUACAACACCGUGGUGCAUAUGACAUUAUUCGUAAGUGCGUGAACUACGCUUGUGUACUGAUUGGCACAAUGAAAAUCGAGCCACUUGUGUGCUCGUUAC